This 253-nucleotide ribosomal RNA is filed under the name uncultured bacterium. RNAcentral describes it as "partial 16S ribosomal RNA". It matches the Rfam family "Bacterial small subunit ribosomal RNA", at positions 524 to 776 of the family's 1533-position model. The record is from RNAcentral.
UACGUAGGGUGCAAGCGUUGUCCGGAAUUAUUGGGCGUAAAGAGCUCGUAGGCGGUUUGUCGCGUCUGCUGUGAAAACCCGAGGCUCAACCUCGGGCCUGCAGUGGGUACGGGCAGACUAGAGUGCGGUAAGGGAGAUUGGAAUUCCUGGUGUAGCGGUGGAAUGCGCAGAUAUCAGGAGGAACACCAAUGGCGAAGGCAGAUCUCUGGGCCGUAACUGACGCUGAGGAGCGAAAGCAUGGGGAGCGAACAGG